Nannospalax galili (Upper Galilee mountains blind mole rat) is the source of this 148-nucleotide small nuclear RNA. Its record names the gene U12. It matches the Rfam family "U12 minor spliceosomal RNA". Rfam says of the family: Although the U12 sequence is very divergent from that of U2, the two are functionally analogous. The record is from Ensembl. Lineage: Eukaryota; Metazoa; Chordata; Mammalia; Rodentia; Spalacidae.
AUGGUUUACUUCUGAGUAUGGAGAAUAACAAUUCAGGGCAAUGCUUGAAUCCUCGCUGCUAAUGUGAGAUGAAUUCUUGAGCAGGUAAAGUUUUUCCCUAAGAUCAACCACCUGCUUUGUUGGGAUGCCUGGGUUUGUGAUCUGCCUA